GUGAAAAUACAUGUUGGAAAAAAAAAAAGGGAAUUUCAGCGGCUUCUCGAUUCUUCCAAGUCUUCUCCUUUCCACUUAUAAAUAAUCAGGGGAUCCCACGCCAUAUUUGCUGUCAAAAAACUUGUGUCCAAAUUUCUACGUAACCUUAAGCUGACCCCAUCUCCACCUUCAAUCUGGUAAGCUUUCUUUUUCUCAGAAAGCCUGGGUUUUGAUUUUUUGUUUUUUUUAAAUGAUUCGAUCUUUCUUUUAAUAAUUUUGCAUGUGUUUAUGUUUUGUUUCCAGGUUCUUGUUCAGAGCAAUUUAUUGUUAGAUCUUUGUUUGGCUGUUCCAGAAUCGAGAAUGAGUCAUAUCCUUACGAUAUGUUCCUUUUCUCUGAUUUAAGAUCACGCUAAUAUCGAUCCAAUUCUUUGUUUUGAUGAACAAGAUUCUCUUAUCUUCUACUCCCUCUCCCUCUGUUCCAGUUUAUGUGAACCUAUUUCCUUUUUGGUCCGUUCCAAAAAGAAUGAACCCUUUCUAAAUUUGGUAACAAUUUAGCUUAAAGUUGCGUAACUUUAAGCUUUUAUAACCACACAAAUACUCCAUUUGGACUUGUUUAGAAUCACAAGUUCCAAACGGAGGGAGUAUUCGAUUGCCGAGAAAUUGAGAAAAAAUAUCCAAAAUUAAAGAUUUUUUAUUUAAUUUUGUUGGGGUAAUCUAUUAAAUUGGGAAUCCCCUUUCGAGAUAUAUCCUCAAUUGGCUCGGUAUCCAAAGAAUUGGUUUAGUUAGGACCUAAAGAUUGAAUUUUUGUGGCUCAAAGAAUGGCAUUUUUGUUUCUGAUUGUUGUCUGUUUUUGACUUAACUCAAGCUAACGCGGAAAUCAGAGAGAUAGAGAUCGUGAAAGGGCACAAGCCAGGGCAGGUAGCAAACCCAAACAGCCCAAAGGUGAUGGAUUGACCCCUGAACAAAGACGAGAAAGGUUCUUUCUUUCCUCCUAAACAACCCUCAAUUUCAUUGUGUUUAGUACGACGGAAGUUAAUGAAGUUAUUUUUCGUGAAAAUGCUUUUCCACGAUAUGUUUUUUUUUUUUAAAUAAAAUUAUUUUUCAACGUUUAAUUGAGAGCUCAAAGAAAACUUACGUGGUAAAUAUUAAAAAUUAAUCCUAAUAUAAUGUUUUGAUGAAACUAUUAGAAUUUAUAGUCUUUAAAAAUGAUUUUCCGCCAUAUAUGAGACCAGUUUUUCUCCUUCUGAAUGAAAAAUAUUUUGUAGAAAGUAAACUUCGUCGAAUAUAUUGAAAAAUAAUUC
This 1280-nucleotide long non-coding RNA is filed under the name Nicotiana tabacum (common tobacco). Its description in RNAcentral is "long non-coding RNA (NTAB_LNC001741)". The record is from RNAcentral. Lineage: Eukaryota; Viridiplantae; Streptophyta; Magnoliopsida; Solanales; Solanaceae.